GAGGCACUACGGUGCUGAAGUAACAAAUGCCCUGCUUCCAGGAAAAGCCUCUAAGCAUCAGGUAACAUCAAAUCGUACCCCAAACCGACACAGGUGGUCAGGUAGAGAAUACCAAGGCGCUUGAGAGAACUCGGGUGAAGGAACUAGGCAAAAUGGUGCCGUAACUUCGGGAGAAGGCACGCUGAUAUGUAGGUGAAGCCCCUGCGGGUGGAGCUGAAAUCAGUCGAAGAUACCAGCUGGCUGCAACUGUUUAUUAAAAACACAGCACUGUGCAAACACGAAAGUGGACGUAUACGGUGUGACGCCUGCCCGGUGCCGGAAGGUUAAUUGAUGGGGUUAGCGGUAACGCGAAGCUCUUGAUCGAAG
This 366-nucleotide ribosomal RNA is filed under the name Enterobacter roggenkampii. RNAcentral's name for it is "partial 23S ribosomal RNA". It matches the Rfam family "Bacterial large subunit ribosomal RNA", at positions 1570 to 1917 of the family's 2925-position model. Lineage: Bacteria; Pseudomonadati; Pseudomonadota; Gammaproteobacteria; Enterobacterales; Enterobacteriaceae. The record is from RNAcentral.